CCGUUAUUACUGUCCCGACAUUAUUAUAUAAACCUAAUUCGGUUUUUAUAAGGAAAGGUCUAAACUUAAUUACGACAUUGAUGUAUCCCAGUGCUUGUGGAUUCGCCGUCGAUCGGAAUCUCGUGUCGCUGUCUUUAACCUAAUCCUUCUGUUCGUUCGUGCCGGGGAUUUAAAAAACCUAAGUUAAAGUGCGAAGCUUUGGGUUUGAAUGAUGCGAUGCAAGAGAUGCAAUGGAAGCAACUUCCAACGCGAAGAAGGCACGGGGAAUUCGUAUUGC
Molecule: long non-coding RNA, 277 nt
Filed under: Capsella grandiflora
Lineage: Eukaryota; Viridiplantae; Streptophyta; Magnoliopsida; Brassicales; Brassicaceae
Description: long non-coding RNA (CGRA_LNC000772)
Source: RNAcentral